AGUGCACGCUGGCGGUAGGCCUAACACAUGCAAGUCGAACGGCAGCACAGUAAGAGCUUGCUCUUACGGGUGGCGAGUGGCGGACGGGUGAGGAAUACAUCGGAAUCUACUUUUUCGUGGGGGAUAACGUAGGGAAACUUACGCUAAUACCGCAUACGACCUACGGGUGAAAGCAGGGGAUCUUCGGACCUUGCGCGAUUGAAUGAGCCGAUGUCGGAUUAGCUAGUUGGCGGGGUAAAGGCCCACCAAGGCGACGAUCCGUAGCUGGUCUGAGAGGAUGAGCAGCCACACUGGAACUGAGACACGGUCCAGACUCCUACGGGAGGCAGCAGUGGGGAAUAUUGGACAAUGGGCGCAAGCCUGAUCCAGCCAUACCGCGUGGGUGAAGAAGGCCUUCGGGUUGUAAAGCCCUUUUGUUGGGAAAGAAAAGCAGCAGGUUAAUACCCCGCUGUUCUUACGGUACCCAAAGAAUAAGCACCGGCUAACUUCGUG
RNAcentral lists this ribosomal RNA (492 nucleotides) under uncultured bacterium. RNAcentral describes it as "partial 16S ribosomal RNA". It matches the Rfam family "Bacterial small subunit ribosomal RNA", at positions 29 to 507 of the family's 1533-position model. The record is from RNAcentral.